This 71-nucleotide transfer RNA is filed under the name Loxodonta africana (African savanna elephant). It matches the Rfam family "tRNA". From Rfam's summary of the family: Transfer RNA (tRNA) molecules are approximately 80 nucleotides in length. Their secondary structure includes four short double-helical elements and three loops (D, anti-codon, and T loops). Further hydrogen bonds mediate the characteristic L-shaped molecular structure. tRNAs have two regions of fundamental functional importance: the anti-codon, which is responsible for specific mRNA codon recognition, and the 3' end, to which the tRNAs corresponding amino acid is attached (by aminoacyl-tRNA synthetases). tRNAs cope with the degeneracy of the genetic code in two manners: having more than one tRNA (with a specific anti-codon) for a particular amino acid; and 'wobble' base-pairing, i.e. permitting non-standard base-pairing at the 3rd anti-codon position. The record is from Rfam by way of RNAcentral. Lineage: Eukaryota; Metazoa; Chordata; Mammalia; Proboscidea; Elephantidae.
GCACUGGCGGUUCAGUGGCAGAAUUCCCGCCUUCCAUGUGGGAGACCUGGGUUUGAUUCCCAGCCAGUGUG